RNAcentral lists this ribosomal RNA (504 nucleotides) under uncultured bacterium. Its description in RNAcentral is "partial 16S ribosomal RNA". It matches the Rfam family "Bacterial small subunit ribosomal RNA", at positions 30 to 523 of the family's 1533-position model. The record is from RNAcentral.
AUUGAACGCUGGCGGCAGGCCUAACACAUGCAAGUCGAACGGUAGCACAGAGAGCUUGCUCUCGGGUGACGAGUGGCGGACGGGUGAGUAAUGUCUGGGAAACUGCCCGAUGGAGGGGGAUAACUACUGGAAACGGUAGCUAAUACCGCAUAACGUCGCAAGACCAAAGUGGGGGACCUUCGGGCCUCACACCAUCGGAUGUGCCCAGAUGGGAUUAGCUAGUAGGUGGGGUAAUGGCUCGCCUAGGCGACGAUCCCCAGCUGGUCUGAGAGGAUGACCAGCCACACUGGAACUGAGACACGGUCCAGACUCCUACGGGAGGCAGCAGUGGGGAAUAUUGCACAAUGGGCGCAAGCCUGAUGCAGCCAUGCCGCGUGUAUGAAGAAGGCCUUCGGGUUGUAAAGUACUUUCAGCGGGGAGGAAGGCGGUGAAGUUAAUAACUUCACCGAUUGACGUUACCCGCAGAAGAAGCACCGGCUAACUCCGUGCCAGCAGCCGCGGUAA